UGAACGCUGGCGGCGUGCUUAACACAUGCAAGUCGAACGAGAAAGGGAUUGCUUGCAAUCCUGAGUAGAGUGGCGCACGGGUGAGUAACACGUAGAUAAUCUACCUUCAAGCCUGGGAUAACUAUUCGAAAGGAUAGCUAAUACCGGAUAAAGUAUUUUAAUAUAAGUUAAACUAUGAAAGAUUGCCAAUUCGUGAAAGCAAUUGUUUGAAGAUGAGUUUGCGGACCAUUAGUUAGUUGGUGGGGUAACGGCCUACCAAGACGACGAUGGUUAGCUGGUCUGAGAGGAUGAUCAGCCACACUGGAACUGGUACACGGUCCAGACUCCUACGGGAGGCAGCAGUGAGGAAUUUUGCGCAAUGGGGGAAACCCUGACGCAGCAACGCCGCGUGAGUGAAGAAGGCCUUUGGGUCGUAAAGCUCUGUCGACAGGGAAGAAAUUGAAGUUAUCCAAUAGGUGAUUUCAUUGACGGUACCUGUAGAGGAAGCACCGGCUAACUCC
This 500-nucleotide ribosomal RNA is filed under the name uncultured bacterium. Its description in RNAcentral is "bacterial SSU rRNA". It matches the Rfam family "Bacterial small subunit ribosomal RNA", at positions 30 to 504 of the family's 1533-position model. The record is from RNAcentral.